GGGGUCGUACCCAAACGGUCAAGGGAGCAGUCUUGAAAACUGACAGGGCGCUUCUCGGCGCUGCGAGAGUUCGAAUCUCUCCGACCCCGCCA
This 92-nucleotide transfer RNA is filed under the name Agathobaculum butyriciproducens. RNAcentral's name for it is "tRNA-Ser". It matches the Rfam family "tRNA". Rfam says of the family: Transfer RNA (tRNA) molecules are approximately 80 nucleotides in length. Their secondary structure includes four short double-helical elements and three loops (D, anti-codon, and T loops). Further hydrogen bonds mediate the characteristic L-shaped molecular structure. tRNAs have two regions of fundamental functional importance: the anti-codon, which is responsible for specific mRNA codon recognition, and the 3' end, to which the tRNAs corresponding amino acid is attached (by aminoacyl-tRNA synthetases). tRNAs cope with the degeneracy of the genetic code in two manners: having more than one tRNA (with a specific anti-codon) for a particular amino acid; and 'wobble' base-pairing, i.e. permitting non-standard base-pairing at the 3rd anti-codon position. Lineage: Bacteria; Bacillati; Bacillota; Clostridia; Eubacteriales; Butyricicoccaceae. The record is from RNAcentral.